RNAcentral lists this transfer RNA (73 nucleotides) under Candidatus Similichlamydia laticola. It matches the Rfam family "tRNA". Rfam says of the family: Transfer RNA (tRNA) molecules are approximately 80 nucleotides in length. The record is from Rfam by way of RNAcentral. Lineage: Bacteria; Pseudomonadati; Chlamydiota; Chlamydiia; Parachlamydiales; Candidatus Parilichlamydiaceae.
GGCCUCAUCGUCUAGUGGACCAGGACUCCGGGUUUUCAGUCCGGCAACAGGGGUUCGAAUCCCCUUGAGGUCA